UACGUAGGGGGCAAGCGUUGUCCGGAUUUAUUGGGCGUAAAGAGCGUGUAGGCGGCCAGAUAGGUCAGCUGUGAAAACUCGAGGCUCAACCUCGAGAUGUCGGCUGAAACCAUCUGGCUAGAGUCCGGAAGAGGAGAAUGGAAUUCCCGGUGUAGCGGUGAAAUGCGCAGAUAUCGGGAAGAACACCAGUGGCGAAGGCGGCCAUCUGGAUCAACACUGACUCUGAGGCACGAAAUCGUGGGGAGCAAACAGG
This 253-nucleotide ribosomal RNA is filed under the name uncultured bacterium. Its description in RNAcentral is "partial 16S ribosomal RNA". It matches the Rfam family "Bacterial small subunit ribosomal RNA", at positions 524 to 776 of the family's 1533-position model. The record is from RNAcentral.